UUGUAAAAUUAUUUCAAAUAUAUAAAAGUUACCUUUUGCAUAAUGGUUUAAUUAAAUUUUAAAAAUUUUUCAUUCCCGAAAUAAAAAGAUCUAAUAAAAAAUUAAAAAUAUGUUUUAAAAUAUUUAUUUAAUUUUUUAUUAGGUGUGAAAGGCUAGUCAAUUUUUAUGAUAUCUGGAUAAGAUUAAAUGUAUUUAGUACAGGCUUAAAGCUGAUGAGCCCCCUGUUAAGGGGGGGCUCAAAAAGUAUAUUGAUAUUAUAAAUUUAUUUAGGAUAAUUCUAUAAUAACUACUGUGUGUUUAUAAUUAUUUAUUUACUGAUCUGGAUUUUUUUUCUAGAAAAUUCUAAUUUCUUAAAUUUUUCAUAAUGUUAAAAUAAGUAUUAUUAUUAAUAAUUUAAAUAUAG
Molecule: ribosomal RNA, 403 nt
Filed under: Allenoconcha basispiralis
Lineage: Eukaryota; Metazoa; Mollusca; Gastropoda; Stylommatophora; Microcystidae
Description: partial large subunit ribosomal RNA
Source: RNAcentral